Molecule: non-coding RNA, 422 nt
Filed under: Myotis lucifugus (little brown bat)
Lineage: Eukaryota; Metazoa; Chordata; Mammalia; Chiroptera; Vespertilionidae
Description: Eukaryotic large subunit ribosomal RNA
Rfam family: Eukaryotic large subunit ribosomal RNA
Source: Rfam by way of RNAcentral
AAGGCUUCCAUGAGAACAGCAGUUGAACCUGGGUCAGUCGGUCCCGAGAGAUGGGCGAGCACCAUUCCCAGGGGACCGGCAAUGGCCUCCGUUGCCCUCAGCCGAUCCGAAGGGAGUCGGGUUCAGAUCCCCGAAUCCAGAGUGGCGGAGACGGGCACCGCGAGGCGUCCAGUGGGGUAACGCGACCGACCCGGGAGAAGCCGGCCGAGGCCCCAGGGAGACUUCAUCUUUUUUUUUUUUUUUUUUUUUGGUGGUGAAGGGCAGGGCGCCAAGGAAUGGGUUUGCCCCGAGAGAGGGCCCGGUGCCUUGGAAAGCAUUGAGGUUCCAGCGACGUCCGGUGAGCGCCCGCUGGCCCUUGGACAAAAAAACCCAGGGAGAGUGUGUGAAUCUCGCGCCAGACCAUACCCAUAUCCUCCGGGGGU